AUUGAACGCUGGCGGCAUGCUUUACACAUGCAAGUCGAACGGCAGCGCGGGCUUCGGCCUGGCUGCGAGUGGCGAACGGGUGAGUAAUACAUCGGAACGUGCCCAGUAGUGGGGGAUAGCUCGGCGAAAGCCGGAUUAAUACCGCAUACGACCUGAGGGUGAAAGCGGGGGAUCUUCGGACCUCGCGCUUUUGGAGCGGCCGAUGGCAGAUUAGCUAGUUGGUGGGGUAAAGGCCUACCAAGGCUGUGAUCUGUAGCUGGUCUGAGAGGACGACCAGCCAGACGGGGACUGAGAGACGGCCCAGACUGCGACGGGAGGCAGCAGGGGGGAAUAGUGCACAAUGGGCGGACGUGUGAUGCAGCAACGCCGCGUGCGGGAUGACGGCCUUCGGGGUGGAAACCGCAGUAGCCUGUGACGAAGCGUGAGUGACGGUAAUGGGUAAAGAAGCACCGGCUAACUACGUG
Molecule: ribosomal RNA, 464 nt
Filed under: uncultured bacterium
Lineage: Bacteria
Description: partial 16S ribosomal RNA
Rfam family: Bacterial small subunit ribosomal RNA
Source: RNAcentral